CUACGGGAUGCUCCAGUGGGGAAUAUUGCACAAUGGGCGCAAGCCUGAUGCAGCCAUGCCGCGUGUAUGAAGAAGGCCUUCGGGUUGUAAAGUACUUUCAGCGGGGAGGAAGGGAGUAAAGUUAAUACCUUUGCUCAUUGACGUUACCCGCAGAAGAAGCACCGGCUAACUCCGUGCCAGCAGCCGCGGUAAUACGGAGGGUGCAAGCGUUAAUCGGAAUUACUGGGCGUAAAGCGCACGCAGGCGGUUUGUUAAGUCAGAUGUGAAAUCCCCGGGCUCAACCUGGGAACUGCAUCUGAGACUGGCAAGCUUGAGUCUCGUAGAGGGGGGUAGAAUUCCAGGUGUAGCGGUGAUAUGCGUAGAGAUCUGGAGGAAUACCGGUGGCGAAGGCGGCCCCCUGGACGAAGACUGACGCUCAGGUGCGAAAGCGUGGGGAGCAAACAGGAUUAGAUACCCCGGUAGUC
RNAcentral lists this ribosomal RNA (464 nucleotides) under uncultured bacterium. RNAcentral's name for it is "partial 16S ribosomal RNA". It matches the Rfam family "Bacterial small subunit ribosomal RNA", at positions 339 to 795 of the family's 1533-position model. The record is from RNAcentral.